RNAcentral lists this long non-coding RNA (1101 nucleotides) under Brassica napus (rape). Its description in RNAcentral is "long non-coding RNA (BNAP_LNC023999)". Lineage: Eukaryota; Viridiplantae; Streptophyta; Magnoliopsida; Brassicales; Brassicaceae. The record is from RNAcentral.
AGGAGGUCCAGAACCUGUUACCAUGGUUAGGGUGCUAUGUGAUCCAGAGCUAGGAGAGCAAGGGAAAGUUUCUGCAAGAGCUUUUAUCAACUGCAUCAACAAGAUAAGGAAGAGAGACACUAACACUUGUUUUGGAGCAAGUUCACAUUCUCAUCCGGACUGAUUCAGAUCUCUAGAAGUCAAGCUAAUGACUAAAAAUAAGUGCUAAGUGGGAGGCAAACCACUAUUAGGUAUUUUCUUUAAAGCUAAGUUUUAAUUUUUACUGAUUUUCGUUUUCAAAUUUUAUGCAAAAAAAAAGAGAUCCAAGGUUCAUGAGUUUAGGACCAGCAUCGAUCGACUGCUGGCCAGCGUAUCGAUCGACAGAGCAUCAUAAGUAUCGAUCGCCACUUAACUGUGUUGGGCGAUACUGACAUCAAUGGCAGUUAUACUCGCGAAACCUUGUUAAAUUUAGUACUUAUGGUUUAUUUUCCAACCAUCUUAGACUGUAUAACACUGGGACAGUGUUGUUUAAGUCUGGGGGAGGUUCUACUAAUAUUAUGCUUUAUUUUGGGUAUAUAAAAAAAGGAUCCGUGGAGACGAUUUCCUGGCCUACUGAGCGAUGAGACCAGAUCGAUAUCAAUCAACAGUACCACACCAGAAUCAGCCGACGAAAACUCAAACACGUGGAUCGAUAAUCAACAUCAGCGAGCAGGUAUAUCGUUCUACCUUGUUACUUAUGCACUUAUGAUUUAUUUCCCACCAAACUCCGGCUAGAUAAACACUAAGGACAGUGUAAUCUAUGUCUGGGGGAGGUUUAUUGAUAUUUAUUUUAUCUAUGAGUUUUAUAAAAUGUUUUCAAAAGAGUUUUAUUGAGUCAAGAAGGAUUAUCUAACCUCUCUCUAGCACCAUUCUUAGAUUUAUUGACCGCAGAGUGUACUAGAGAUACCAAAGCGGGUCACCAGCCAAUUAUCCACACUUGCUGAUAUUGUUUGAAGGAACCAAAGCUGACCUCCAACCUAAUUGAGCUUAAUCUGCUUGUCUUCGGGCUUGGUAUACAUUGGAUUGGAUUCUUCCUGCAAGUCCGGAAGGUAAGAAAGUAUGUGUGUCGCUACUCCCCCCUCA